This 233-nucleotide small nuclear RNA is filed under the name Sphaerulina musiva SO2202. RNAcentral describes it as "U2 spliceosomal RNA". It matches the Rfam family "U2 spliceosomal RNA". From Rfam's summary of the family: U2 is a small nuclear RNA (snRNA) component of the spliceosome (involved in pre-mRNA splicing). The record is from Rfam by way of RNAcentral. Lineage: Eukaryota; Fungi; Ascomycota; Dothideomycetes; Mycosphaerellales; Mycosphaerellaceae.
CUCACUAACAUCCUCUCAGGUGUAGUAUCUGUUCUUUUCAGUUUAAUCUCUGAAACGAGUCUACGGACUCUUUUAAGAUUAUGUGAGUUCUUCCCUCACCUCCUCUCCCUUCCACUCUGGCUAACGGCUUCACAGUCUUAUUUUUGAAACUCGAGAAGAGGCCGCUGGGCUUGCUCAUGUCUCAUCUCACCGUGUCCUUGGUAUCGCACUACCUCCAAGCGACGCGAAGAAAC